AAGGAUUAAGCUUCAGCAUAUAUAUAUAUAGAGAGAGAGAGAGGAAUGCUGUAGCUGAUUGUUUGGCUACUUGGGGUCACAACUUGGAUCCGGGCUUCUGCUUGAGGGGAGUCCUGCCUGGCCUGGGCUCUGUUGCUUGAUGUUUCGUUGGGGUUUGGUGUCUGGGGGUUUUCCCCUUUUCUUCAUAAAAGAAAAACAUAUGGAAUCUCUUAGCGCUUGUUGAAGGGCCUUAAUCUUGAUCAGUUCGUGCUCUUCGUCAUGGAACUGUGAGGAAGCAUCAUAAGGGAUAUGAGGAGGUCAUUCCCCCAACGCCAACAGCACAAAUGAAAACCUGGGAAAAGCUGGUUUGUGCUCCAACAGGAGCUUGCAAAACAAACGUAGCUAUGAUUUCUAUUCUGCAUGAGAUACGGCAAAUGAUUGGCUAUUCCUGGGUUUCUAUUCUCAUUUUUGAUUGCACAGCACUUCAAAGACGGUGCUUGCAUAAAGAUGAAUUUAAGAUAGUUUAUGUUGCACCAAUGAAGGCAUUAGCUGCAGAAGUUACAUCAACUUUUAGCCAUCGCUUAUCUCCAUUGAAUAUAACUGUGAGAGAACUUACUGGAGACAUGCAACUUUAUAAGAAUGAACUUGAAGAAACUCAGAUGAUAGUCGCAACACCUGAGAAAUGGGAUGUCAUUACUCACAAGAGCAGUCACAUGUCACUUUCAAUGUUGGUGAAGAUCCUAAUUUUUGAUUAAGUGCAUCUAUUAAAUGAUGAUGGAGGCCCUGUAAUUGAGGCACUAGUUGCUUGAACUUUGCGCCAGGUGGAGUCUACACAGACAAUGAUACGCAUUGUAGGCCUUUCAGCCACUCUACCGAACUAUUUAGAGGUUGCUACAGUUUCUGAGAGUGAAUCCAGAAGCAGGACUCUUCUUCUUUAUUUCUAGUUAUCGCUCUGUCCGCCUCGCACAGCAAUAUAUUGGUAUUAGUGAGCAGAAUUUUACAGCCCAUAUUGAAUUGCAGAAUGAGAGAUGCUACAAGAAGGUUUCUUUUUCCUUGGGCUCUCUUUUGUGUAACGUAUGUAAUUAUUUAACUGAUUGAUACUUUUUUCUGCCAGUUUGUUGAAUCACUCAGGAAAGGUUAUCAGGCAAUGGUAUUUGUUCCUUGAAAGACAAUUUAAAGGAUAUGUUAAGAUGAUUCACUUUUCCUUAUUGUUCUUGAAAUUUUCUCUAUGCAGUUUAUAAGUUCCUUGAAAGACAAUUUAAAUGCAGAGGUUGCACGUGGUACUGUCACCAAUGUCAAGGAAGCUUGUGAAUGGCUUGGAUAUAUGUAUCUUUUCAUAAGAAUGAGGCUGAAUCCUUUGGUGUAUGGUAUUGGGUGGGAUGAGGUUGUUGCUGAUCCUUCCUUGAGUUUAAAGCAAAGAGUUCUCAUAGCAAAUGCUGCACGUGCCCUGGACAAAGCAAAAAUGAUGCGCUUUGAUGAGAAAAGUGGCAACUUUUUGUACAGAGCUUGGUCGAAUUGCAAGCCACUUUUAUAUUCAAUACUCAAAUGUUGAAACAUAGAAUGAAAUGUUGAGACGCCACAUGAAUGAGACUGAGGUAAUAGACAUGGUAGCCCACUCUUCAGAAAUUGAAAAUAUUGUUGUUCGAGAUGAGGAACAGAAUGAGCUAGAGACGUUGGUGCAAUCAUCGUGCCCAUUAGAAGUUAAGGGGACUCCUAAAAAACAUGGAAAGAUAUCCAUUCUCAUUCAGUUGUACAGAUCUUGUGGCUCAAUGGAUACCUUUUCGUUGGUUUCUGAUGCAGCAUACAUAAGUGCAAGCUUGGCACGGAUUAUGCUUUCACAUUUUAUCAAAUUUAUAGACUGAAUUAAUUGUGUGUUUUUCAUACCAUACAACUCUGCUGUGAUUUGUUUCUGAUUGUCAUCAAAUAGUAUGCUCUGUAGUUAAGUAUAAAAUUUUGAUUUUGCACUUGAGGUUCCUUAUUGUGCGGUGCGGGUGAAACAUUUGGUGUAUGAUCUUUGUGUUCCAUU
This is a long non-coding RNA of Prunus dulcis (almond), 2005 nucleotides long. RefSeq lists it as uncharacterized. The record is from RefSeq and is a predicted model, not a curated record. NCBI's taxonomy places the organism in Eukaryota, Viridiplantae, Streptophyta, Magnoliopsida, Rosales, Rosaceae. The transcript has 10 exons.